UUCCUUCCAUUGCUGUUCCCUGCAGCAUGGCCUAGGAGCACCAUAACUCCCUGUGUAAUACUUGAGCCUGCCAGCCAUGUCAGAGCCUCACACACAGAUCCUUUCCAAGGCAGAAACGAAGGGUGUUGAAUCCUCACACUGAGACCUCCUGGUCUGUGCGUGUAGAAAGGCUCUGGCAUCAUAUUGACAGCACAGCCAGCAGCCAGAGAAGGAUUCCACACAUAGGUUUAAACAUUCCUAGCAUGAAAGGUGCCAUUUAAGCAUCAGUCAUCAUGUUCACUGUUGGCAGAGGGCUAGGUGACUCAUUUUAUCAGCAAGGCUAUUCCUAGAAAAAGAAAAUGCAGAGAGGGACUGAGUGAGCAGCUGAGACGGUAUUUUGUCUCCAGCUGGGCUUGAAACCAUGGCAGUCCUUUUUUGGCAGCUGAACAGGGGAACCAAAGGUUGAGCUGUUGGAGAGAGGAUAUGAGCAAGCAUGAACUAAAAGGACAUGUCACUCAUUAGGAAGCCUCUAAGAGAUGCAGAAUUUUCUCAUAGCUUCCUGGAAAGGACUUGGCAAGGGACAUGAAUAGACAACGGAGCACAGUAAAGGCUUUAUCAUGAUCCCACUUCUCUGUCAUGCUAAAAUGCAUUUCACCAAGCUGCAUUCAAAAAGAAAGAGGUUUUAUUUAAGAAUGGAUGUACAUUUUUAUAUUAAUAUGAAUGAAUACACGUAUUUACUUCAAAAAUGAGUACUUUGUAACUAACUCCAAGGUUACAGCAGUCACUGACUGCUUCUGCCUUUCUGCAUUGUAGAAGGAGCAUGACCAGCUCUGACACCAUUUACCCAGG
This is a long non-coding RNA of Passer domesticus (house sparrow), 828 nucleotides long. RefSeq lists it as uncharacterized. The record is from RefSeq and is a predicted model, not a curated record. NCBI's taxonomy places the organism in Eukaryota, Metazoa, Chordata, Aves, Passeriformes, Passeridae. The transcript has 4 exons.